CGACGUGAGGAACCUGCCUUGGAGGGGGGAAUAACACUCCGAAAGGAGUGCUAAUACCGCAUGAUGCAGUUGGGUCGCAUGGCUCUGACUGCCAAAGAUUUAUCGCUCUGAGAUGGCCUCGCGUCUGAUUAGCUAGUAGGCGGGGUAACGGCCCACCUAGGCGACGAUCAGUAGCCGGACUGAGAGGUUGACCGGCCACAUUGGGACUGAGACACGGCCCAG
This 222-nucleotide ribosomal RNA is filed under the name uncultured bacterium. Its description in RNAcentral is "partial 16S ribosomal RNA". It matches the Rfam family "Bacterial small subunit ribosomal RNA", at positions 113 to 334 of the family's 1533-position model. The record is from RNAcentral.